GACGAACGCUGGCGGCGUGCUUAACACAUGCAAGUCGAACGGAAAGGCCCUGCUUUUGUGGGGUGCUCGAGUGGCGAACGGGUGAGUAACACGUGAGUGACCUGCCCUUGACUUUGGGAUAACUUCAGGAAACUGGGGCUAAUACCGGAUAGGAGCUCCUGCUGCAUGGUGGGGGUUGGAAAGUUUCGGCGGUUGGGGAUGGACUCGCGGCUUAUCAGCUUGUUGGUGUGGUAGUGGCUUACCAAGGCUUUGACGGGUAGCCGGCCUGAGAGGGUGACCGGCCACAUUGGGACUGAGAUACGGCCCAGACUCCUACGGGAGGCAGCAGUGGGGAAUAUUGCACAAUGGGCGGAAGCCUGAUGCAGCAACGCCGCGUGCGGGAUGACGGCCUUCGGGUUGUAAACCGCUUUCGCCUGUGACGAAGCGUGAGUGACGGUAAUGGGUAAAGAAGCACCGGCUAACUACGUG
RNAcentral lists this ribosomal RNA (468 nucleotides) under uncultured bacterium. Its description in RNAcentral is "partial 16S ribosomal RNA". It matches the Rfam family "Bacterial small subunit ribosomal RNA", at positions 28 to 507 of the family's 1533-position model. The record is from RNAcentral.